UACUUAUCUACUUGCCAAUUAGUGGGGGAUUAAAUACCGCAUACUCUGACUUCGGUCAGGAAAGGGUUCCGCAAGGGCCCGCUAAUUGAGAGGGAUAAGGCGUAUUAGCUAGUUGGUGGGGUAAUGGCCUACCAAGGUAAUGAUGCGUAGCCGGCCUAAGAGGGUGAACGGCCACAAGGGAACUGAGACACGGUCCCUACUCCUACGGGAGGCAGAAGGAGGAAACAUUUCGCAAUGGACGCAAGUCUAACGGAGUGAUACUACGUGAAGGACGAAGGUCUACGGAUUGUAAACUUCUUUACUAGUAGGUACUGCUUUCGGGCUUGCCUGCUAGCAAAAAGUCACGACUAACUAUGUGCCAGCAGUCGCGGUAAGACAUAGGUGGCAAACGUUAUCCGGAAUUACUGGGCGUAAAGGGUGCGUAGGUGGUUUAAUAAGUUACUGGUGGGAAAUCGGGGCCCAACCCCGUGGAAGUCAGUAAUACUAUUAAACUAGAGGGCCGGAGAGGUUAACGGAAUUCUAUGUGUAGCGGUAAAAUGCUCAAAUAUAUAGAGGAACACCAAUUGGCGAAGGCAGUUAACUAUUCGGCGCCUGACGUUGAGGCACGAAAGCGUGGGGAGCAAGACGGAUUAGAUACCCGAGUAGUCCACGCCCUAAACGAUGAGUACUAGAUAUUGGGAACUUGAUUUUCAGUGUCGCAAGAUAACUCGGUAAGUACUCCGCCUGGGUAGUACGGUCGCAAGGCUAAAACUCAAAGGAAUUGACGGGAACUCACACAAGCAGUGGAGCAUGUGGUUUAAUCCGAUAUGACGCGUAGAACCUUACCGGGGCUUGACAUGUUCGGCAAAACUAGGGAAACCUAGCGGAGGUUAUCCGGACACAGGUGUUGCAUGGCCAUCGUCAGUUCGUGUUGUGAGAUGUAUGGUUUAGUCCUAUUAACGAACGAAACCCUUGUGCUUAGUUGCUAACAGGUAAGGCUGAGGACUCUAAGCAGACUGCCAAGGCAACUUGGAGGAAGGCGAGGAUCAAGUCUGGUCAUC
This 1040-nucleotide ribosomal RNA is filed under the name Candidatus Moeniiplasma glomeromycotorum. RNAcentral's name for it is "bacterial SSU rRNA". It matches the Rfam family "Bacterial small subunit ribosomal RNA", at positions 114 to 1194 of the family's 1533-position model. The record is from RNAcentral. Lineage: Bacteria; Bacillati; Mycoplasmatota; Mollicutes; Mycoplasmatales; Mycoplasmataceae.